RNAcentral lists this unclassified non-coding RNA (930 nucleotides) under Hevea brasiliensis (rubber tree). Lineage: Eukaryota; Viridiplantae; Streptophyta; Magnoliopsida; Malpighiales; Euphorbiaceae. The record is from RNAcentral.
CUAUCUCCCUCACUAAGGCAUGAUGAACAGUUAUCUGAAUUAGAAGUGCUGCCUAUGCUAGGAUCAGAAGUCCCACCUGAGCCAGAGUUCUUUGCAAGACAUGAACUGACUUCGUCAUAAGGAGUUUCUGUUGAGUAGCAAAGCUCCUUCACUGCCACAUUGUGUCCAUUCUGGAAGCCUUUAUUGAUUCUGUGGUUAGAGUUUCCUGAUUCCCCCUUAUUAUUCUCAUGAUCAAUUUCACCAAAAUUUCCAGUAACUUCACCAGAACACUUACCACCAGGUGACUUGAAUAAGUUAUUGAAAGUAGAUGACAUCAAGGUAACAUCACUGUCUGAGUUGCUCCGAGUAUACUUUUUGUAUGAUUCUGUAGGUUCCCACACUUUCUUAGAAUGAAGCAAAUCCCUGCUACAAGAAUUGUUUGCUGUGAUGCUUUUGCUUUUGGGUCUUACACAACUUUCACGCAUGUAAUCUAUUUGCCCAUACUUGUUCCCACAAUAAAAUUUCUUGGACAUAUCUAGUGUAGACUCUGACUUACCAACAGAUUUGCUAUCCCGGCCAGUUCUUAUUGCAGAAACAUGUGGUUCAACCUUCACCCUGUAUUCAUUGUUUUGGUGACAGCUACAAGAAUGGAAGUCAUAUCUGUCAUUCAUCCUGUUGUUAACACAAUGAAACUUCUCAUUAAACUUAAGGCCGCAAGUUCGGCCAUUAGACUUCUGUCUAUUUAUCCUUGACUGCCUAUUCAAUCCAGUGACACCCCUUGGAGGAGUCUCAAAAUUGUCAGUGUAAUGUCUCGACUCAAAUCUAUUAACCAUAGCCCCAUUUCCUGAAACAAUGGCAAAUCGACAUCUAUCAGACAACUUCAAAGAGGGAUCAAUCAGAACUUCUUUCCGAAAUUUCAAUCUCCGACGAGAAAAUUUUGAUUGUUCAAUC